AGUGAACGCUGGCGGUAGGCCUAACACAUGCAAGUCGAACGGCAGCACAGUAAGAGCUUGCUCUUACGGGUGGCGAGUGGCGGACGGGUGAGGAAUACAUCGGAAUCUACUUUUUCGUGGGGGAUAACGUAGGGAAACUUACGCUAAUACCGCAUACGACCUACGGGUGAAAGCAGGGGAUCUUCGGACCUUGCGCGAUUGAAUGAGCCGAUGUCGGAUUAGCUAGUUGGCGGGGUAAGGGCCCACCAAGGCGACGAUCCGUAGCUGGUCUGAGAGGAUGAUCAGCCGCACUGGAACUGAGACACGGUCCAGACUCCUACGGGAGGCAGCAGUGGGGAAUAUUGGACAAUGGGCGCAAGCCUGAUCCAGCCAUACCGCGUGGGUGAAGAAGGCCUUCGGGUUGUAAAGCCCUUUUGUUGGGAAAGAAAAGCAGCAGGUUAAUACCCCGCUGUUCUGACGGUACCCAAAGAAUAAGCACCGGCUAACUUCGUG
This 492-nucleotide ribosomal RNA is filed under the name uncultured bacterium. RNAcentral's name for it is "partial 16S ribosomal RNA". It matches the Rfam family "Bacterial small subunit ribosomal RNA", at positions 29 to 507 of the family's 1533-position model. The record is from RNAcentral.